Hyaena hyaena (striped hyena) is the source of this 2669-nucleotide RNA transcript. It is a transcript of the gene named scleraxis bHLH transcription factor, with no coding region annotated. The record is from RefSeq and is a predicted model, not a curated record. The transcript is spliced from 3 exons. Lineage: Eukaryota; Metazoa; Chordata; Mammalia; Carnivora; Hyaenidae.
UAGCCCACGUGGGGGAAGUCAUCGUACCACUCCAGGGGCACAUUGCCCACCGUGUUCCGGAUGUCCUGGGGGCAGCAGGCCAGCGCGUCGGCAGCAGGCACCCACUGUGUCUACCCCUCCCUUCAGGCUCCCGAAGUCACAGGCACGGGUGGGUCCCCAAGGAGGCCGGUGGGACAGUCCCCAGGCACCCUGACACAUGCCCUCUCCCCGGGGUGUGACGUGGCACCGCGGCCAGUGCUGUCCCCCACUGCCCCCCUAACUGGCCCUCAGAGGCGCCGGAGCUGUACCUUCACAUUUUCCACUGAAGUGGUGCCAACCCCAGCGCCUCCCCCCUGGAUUCCUUGGCCAGGACUCUGGGCAGCCACAGACAAGGGUGACCUCAUCGCCCAUGGGCUCCCUCCCCUGGCGGGGGCCUUAGGCAGAAACGGGUAGCCACGGGCAGGGACUCAGGGCAGACCCCACGACCCGCUCCAAGGGGAGGACAAAUCCACUGUCUCUGCCCUGCAGACGUGCAGGGACCCCCUCAGCCCUCCCUGGCCCCGCCCCCCACCCCAGAACAGCCACAUUCCUGGACACACAUUCCUGGUCGAGGCCCCUGCCAGCCACCACCCUCCCUCCACCCAGCACGGAGACUGCUGCCCAGGCGGCCGCUUCCUGAACAGUGGCCACAGGGGGAGGGGCCCAGAUGAGACUGAGCACAGCAGGGAGCCCGAGGUCCCCUUACAGCACAGGACCCCCUGGGCUCUGCCCAUCUGCACCUGCCCACCCAGACCUGCCAACUUCUGUGCUCCCCUCCCAGCAAGCCCGUCCCAGGCACAUCCCUUGUGCCCCGUCCUCUGCACAGGAUUGCGGGGGGGGGAGGGGGGGGGACGACUUCCAGUCUAUACAGGCCCAAUUCCAGUCCAUGCAGCCAUCCCCGAAUUGAACAGAUCCUGGAAUAUGCAGGAAGGGAAGGGGGGGGGUUGCCAGAGCACGAGUACAGGCAGGAGCUGGGAAAGAGGAGGGUCCCAGGCAGAGGGUCCAGCUGACACCAGAAGGCUGUGCCCCCAGGGGUGACCCCACACACAACUUCACCCCUCAGGGCUCCUCCGCACCCCUUCCCCACUCUGCCUGGCACAAAAGGCCCAAGUGUACACAGGAGAGACCGACAAACAGGGUGUGGCCAGGCACCAGGGCCAGGGCAUCUGAGUUAACUUGAUUGUGCCAGGGGAGCAGACCAGCCUGGGUCGCGGGUCCCGCUCGACCCUCCUGGCCCACCCCCGCUGAGGGAGAGGGAGGGAGCUGCAGCGCCCUGUACCAGCCAUUAGGGGAUUCCCAUUUCCCCGCAAGCCCUAGAGACCGCGAGAUGCCCCAGGCUUCUUCAGCGUGGCAGCGGCGGGCGGCGAGGAGGCAGAGGGACGAGGGCCCCUGCUCCGAGCUGCCUCCGGGGGCUGGGAGGCGGGGAGGAGGGCGGGCCGGCGCGGGGGAGGGGCCGCCGCCACUAUAAAGGCCCGGCCCGAGGCUCAGCUCCAGCCCGGGACGCACACGUGCGCGCGGCGCCGCAGCCGCCACCGCGGGCCACCGAGACCCGCGCCUCCCCGGCCCCCGGGCGGCCGCGCGGCUGGCGGCAUGCGCCGCGCAAGGCGGAGCUGACGGCGCGCCCGCCGGCCCCAUGUCCUUCGCCAUGCUGCGCUCGGCGCCGCCCGGCCGCUACCUGUACCCCGAGGUGAGCCCGCUGUCGGACGACGAGGACCGCGGCAGCGAGAGCUCGGGCUCCGAAGAGAAGCCCUGCCGCGUGCACGCGGCGCGCUGCGGCCUCCAGGGCGCCCGGAGGCGGGCCGGGGGCAGGCGGGCGGGGGGCGGCGGCCCGGGGCCCGGGGGGCGGCCGGGCCGCGAGCCCCGGCAGCGGCACACGGCGAACGCACGCGAGCGGGACCGCACCAACAGCGUGAACACGGCCUUCACGGCGCUGCGCACGCUCAUCCCCACGGAGCCGGCCGACCGCAAGCUCUCCAAGAUCGAGACGCUGCGCCUGGCCUCCAGCUACAUCUCGCACCUGGGCAACGUGCUGCUGGUGGGCGAGGCCUGCGGCGACGGGCAGCCGUGCCACUCGGGGCCUGCCUUCUUCCACGCUGCUCGCCCCGGCAGCCCCCCGCCGCCGCCCCCGCCGCCCCCCGCGCGCGACGGAGAGAACGCCCAGCCCAAACAGAUCUGUACCUUCUGCCUCAGCAACCAGAGAAAGUUGACAGCACGCGUGAGCUCCUGGGGCCUGAACAUCUGGGAAAUUUAAUUUUACAAUUUCGGCUGUGCAGCAGUGUGCUCUCCUCCCCAAAGUGCACGGGGAAGCCGGGAGCAAGGACCGAGACAGAAAGACUACGAUUCGCAGUUAGAGGUGGACGCCGCUGGGCUCUCCACGGAGGAACCCCACCCCCACCCCACCCCCGCCAUGGACCCGACUCAGGCCCAGUCCUCCUGUGAGGGCACCUCUGGCUCUGGUGGGGCCAGUGGACGGACAGGCGGCGGCAGGACUCUGCACUGGCCCCAGCUGGCCCAGGUCCACUGGAACCUUCUGUGCUGGCUUCCUACCUGGGUUUUCUUCUGGUCACUACGUGCUGGUAUUUUGUGUCUUUGAUAUGAUAAUAUAAAGUCUGGAAACUUUGUAUAAUUAAAAACAAAACAAUAUCGUCCAA